Molecule: ribosomal RNA, 253 nt
Filed under: uncultured bacterium
Lineage: Bacteria
Description: partial 16S ribosomal RNA
Rfam family: Bacterial small subunit ribosomal RNA
Source: RNAcentral
GACGAACCGUGCGAACGUUGUUCGGAUUCACUGGGCUUAAAGGGCGCGUAGGCGGGCUUGCAAGUCAGGGGUGAAAUCCUCCGGCUCAACCGGAGAACAGCCUUUGAUACUGCGAGCCUCGAGGAAGGUAGGGGCAUGUGGAACUUCCGGUGGAGCGGUGAAAUGCGUAGAUAUCGGAAGGAACGCCGGUGGCGAAAGCGACGUGCUGGACCUUUUCUGACGCUGAGGCGCGAAAGCCAGGGGAGCAAACGGG